CAGACCUUGGUCUGAAAUUACAUUUCACAAAGCAAGGUUUGUCCUCAGACCAGGUUUAUGUACGUCAUCAGACCCGAAAUUUACAGACUGCUCAGAUAGGAGGUUUGUAAUUUCUCAAACCUGGUUUGAGAGCUAUCAACCAAUCAGGAUGCAGCACUGGGUGGAGAUAAUUUAUGCUCGAUUGAUUUUAUCCAAAUAAUUCACCGCCAAAACAAUCUGCGAUAGUAUCUGGUCAGCCCGAUUGUAGUGCAAUUGAAAUCUCUCAAUCUCUCGAUCCUUUCCUUAAAAUCGUAAGUAUAAAACCUGUACAUGUAGUCGAAUCCAUACUCUUCACGUUACUGACAUUUCAAUAUGUGAUAUGCUUUAUAACUUUCCAUUUUCCAUGAAAUGUUCGGUGUUUACAUAUCCGACGGCCUCUCAAUUCCAGAGUUCAGGGACUGAGUCCGAGGGAGCUCGAGUCCAACGCCCAAGGCGGCGGGGGAGCUCGCACCCUCUGACCCUGGGCUGGAGUUGGGCCUAGCCGGGCCUACAGUAGCUGUAGGCUAUAUCUGAGUAUGUCAGUAUGACUGUCAUGUUUAAUUUCGUCUUGUUGUCAGCAAUGCCAUGACACAUGCCUAUUAGAAUAGGCCUAGACCUACACUAGUUAUUACAAAUUCAUGAUAAUGAUAAUAAUACCAUGCAGGCUCUAGCCUAGUAUAGGCCUGGCAAUGAUGUCCAUCACUUGACUUGUUUCACUGACACUGGUACCUAAAUAAAUAGAAAUUAAAAUGGCAUCAGCAAUGCCAAUGUUCCCCAAAAUGAAUCACACUGACAGGCAUGGACCAAAAGCUUCAGUCUCUCUAUAUCGCCGGUUGUUCACUGAGACUACGCCUGGCUCCACUAGACCUCCGAUUAUAGAAUGUCAACAAAUGUCAGUUUUAAUAUUAUUUUUAUUAAAGAAAUGACCCAUAUCACUCAGACGGUUAUUUCUGUCUAUGACUAGAUCUAGUAUGAGUCGUGACAAGCAAAGCUUAGUUUUAUUAAAUUUAGAUCUGGUUCUGAUUGUCUUAAUUAACUGGCUUAGUCUCCAGAGCAAGGAUCACCCACAAAGUCACAAGCACAAGUAAUAACAUUUCUUUAAUUUAAAAACAUUGUUUAAACAUUUGUUUAAUUUUAUCUUCACUCUAAUAAAGAUGGUAGAAAUGCAGCUGAUUCGGCAUAAUGAGCUGGUGUACCUGAAGGAGGAGCUGGAGCAAUAUAUAGCAGCACAACCGGGCAGAGGCCUCUGAGUCUGAGAUUGGGAAAACCCGCUGGAUGAUGAGCCUUUUGUUUUAGAUUGAGGUAAUUCGAUCUAAAGGAUGCACCGUGAGGAGGUGGCAUGCCGUGUCAUAUUCAUCUGUUUGCCGAAUGGAGAGUAGUGAGUGAGGGAUGUUUCCGAAGCUGUUGUCAGAAGAAAGGGACAAGUCAUGAAGUUUCCUACAAGUUACAAGGCAAUAGUGACUACUAUUCAGAAGCAGUUUUUCCAGUACUGCAGAUUUCCAGGAGUUGCUGUUGAUGGGACACAUGUUUACAUCAGGAGCCCUGGUGGGGCAAGAGCCAGGUACUACUUCAAUAGGAAGAACAGGUACUCCAUCGAUGUUCAGGUUGUCUGUGAUUAUGCUGGGAAAAUAACUAGUAUCGUUGCAAGGUGGCCUGGACUGGUAGCAGCCACGAUGCCAGGAUCUUUUCUGAGUGUGCACUGAAUUGACAGCUUGAUGCUAGGGCAUAUGAAUAACAGUUGAUUCUUGGAGAUAGACUAUAGGGUAUCCAUGCCUUCUCUGCCUCAUCAGAAGCCAUUUCUUCAUUCAGAGGGUCGACCACAGAUGUGCUUUAAAGGCCAUCUGUACUAGUUCAGCCAAAGAGGAUUAGACAACCCAGCAAGGUCACUGACGGGAGGCUAUCUCAUCAAUUCAGUUCUCAAUUAACAU
Long non-coding RNA from Strongylocentrotus purpuratus (purple sea urchin), 1946 nucleotides. RefSeq lists it as uncharacterized. The record is from RefSeq and is a predicted model, not a curated record. The transcript has 4 exons. NCBI's taxonomy places the organism in Eukaryota, Metazoa, Echinodermata, Echinoidea, Camarodonta, Strongylocentrotidae.